AUUAUCUAAAUCCCGUUGUUUCUGCUACUGAACAAAACCCGGAACAGUAUCAAUUUUAAGGUGUACGAACAGACUUAUCGUUAAAGUAAUUUUGUAAUGCAAAUUGCAUACAUUAAGGCACAGUUUCACAGUCGCCAAACGUCAAACAAUUUGUCAGAUAAAUGGUCGCAAGUUAUGCAAGUUAUUUUGUCGUAUUGACAAAAUUAUUUUGCAAUGAUGAUGUCUGUUUCUGAGCCUUAACAAAUCCUUCACCCGGGCACCAAUCAAAGGCACUAGUGCUAGCCGCCCUCGUUUGUAUCCACAGCAAGCUUCAACUCCGAACUCGCGUCCACUAAUUACUACUUAACCGAUUGAGCGAUCCUCGGCAAACGGUUUUGGAAGGCAUUCAUUACCAACCGCUAGUACCUACAGCUUCCUGGAGUAGCUUACAAAUAGUUCCAUUUAUUAUCUGCUACUAUCUUCCAAUUCAUCGAUAAAUCGAAACACAUAAGGUAUACUUAUCACCCCGUUGCCGUUCGUUAGCGUGUGGAGCGAAAGCUAAUCAGUACUAUUUGGUUCCAACCGCUUCUCCAACUCUGUUGCAGGUUCUCUUGGGUGUUUUUGCGACGUCCUUGACAUAGAUAUUGCUAUCAUUGCCGUUAUCAUUCGCAUACCCUUAUCGUUGAUCCACCUGAACGCGUUGGUCAUCACAAAAGCGACGAACGUUAUCAUAUUUUCCCCUUUGUCACUUCGUAACGUUCACUUUACAGAUGUGCAAAGAGAGUAAGAGUGAGAUAGUUAAAGAGGAUCCGCCUCUGCUUUUAACUUUUUUUUGUUUAAAGCAUUACUUGAGUGAAAAGAAACACAUUGCAACCAAUUGGCAUUAAAAUAAAACAAUUUAAUUUUUUUUGCAAAAUUUCUCAAAAAAAACGUAAGGGGUAAGCCUUAUGAAAUUUUCGAGUUAAAAUUUUUUUAAAAAUUUUUUUCUGAUUUUUAAUUCUUUUUUUAAUUUAAAGCAUUAUUUGAGUGAAAAGAAACUUAUUGCAACAAAUUUGCAUUAAAAUAUAUCACAUUUUAAAAUUUUGCUACAUUGCUCAAAAAUGAGGAAAAUUUUACAUUUUCUCAAACAGGGUAUGGAACUUGGUUUCUCAGAUAGCUUCUAGCAUAGACAUCUGAGGACAUGGCCGUCCAAGAAGAAAAUGUAGCCAUUGGUAUCAUCUAUCGACCACAGGUUAAAGAUUGGCGAUUCGUUGGAUACCGACCGAGUUAUAGCCAAAACUUGGUGCAAAAAUGAGGAAAAUUUUGCAUUUUCUCAAACAGGUUAUGGAACUUGGUUCCUCAGAUAGCUUCUAUCAUAGACAUCUGAGGGCAUGGCCGUCCAAGAAGAAAAUGUAGCCAUUGGUGCCAUCUAUCGACCACAGGUUAAAGAUUGGCGAUCCGUUGGAUACCGACCGAGUUAUAGCCAAAACUUGGUGCAAAAAUGAGGAAAAUUUUGCAUUUUCUCAAACAGGUUAUGGAACUUGGUUCCUCAGAUAGCUUCUAUCAUAGACAUCUGAGGGCAUGGCCGUCCAAGAAGAAAAUGUAGCCAUUGGUGCCAUCUAUCGACCACAGGUUAAAGAUUGGCGAUCCGUUGGAUACCGACCGAGUUAUAGCCAAAACUUGGUGCAAAAAUGAGCCUUAGUAAAUUUUUAUUUGUUUGAAUUUUUUGAUUUUUUUAUUACUUUUCACUCUUUUUUUUAUUUAAAGCAUUACUUGAGUGAAAAGAAACACAUUGCAACCAAUUGGCAUUAAAAUAAAUCAAUUUAAUUUUUUUUUCAAAUUUUUUCAAAAAAAUGGCAAGGGGUACCCCUUAUGAAAUUUUCGAGUUGAAAAUUUUUAAAACAUUUUUUUCUGAUUUUUUAUUCUUUUUUUAAUUUGAAGCAUUAUUUGAGUGAAAAGAAACUUAUUGCAACAAAUUCGCAUUCAAAUAUAUCACAUUUAAAAAUUUUGCUACAUUGCUCAAAAAUGAGGAAAAUUUUACAUUUUCUCAAACAGGGUAAGGAACUUGGUUUCUCAGAUAACUUCUAGCAUAGACAUCUGAGGGCAUGUCCGUCCAAGAAGAAAAUGUAGCCAUUGGUGCCAUCUAUCGACCACAGGUUAAAGAUUGGCGAUCCGUUGGAUACCGACCGAGUUAUAGCCAAAACUUGGUGCAAAAAUGAGGAAAAUUUUGCAUUUUCUCAAACAGGGUAUGGAACAUGGCUUCUCAGAUAACUUCUAGCAUAGACAUCUGAGGGCAUGUCCGUCCAAGAAGAAAAUGUAGCCAUUGGUGCCAUCUAUCGACCACAGGUUAAAGAUUGGCGAUCCGUUGGAUACCGACCGAGUUAUAGCCAAAACUUGGUGCAAAAAUGAGCCUUAGUAAAUUUUUAUUUGUUUGAAUUUUUUGAUUUUUUUAUUACUUUUCACUCUUUUUUUUAUUUAAAGCAUUACUUGAGUGAAAAGAAACACAUUGCAACCAAUUGGCAUUAAAAUAAAUCAAUUUAAUUUUUUUUUCAAAUUUUUUCAAAAAAAUGGCAAGGGGUACCCCUUAUGAAAUUUUCGAGUUGAAAAUUUUUAAAACAUUUUUUUCUGAUUUUUUAUUCUUUUUUUAAUUUGAAGCAUUAUUUGAGUGAAAAGAAACUUAUUGCAACAAAUUCGCAUUCAAAUAUAUCACAUUUAAAAAUUUUGCUACAUUGCUCAAAAAUGAGGAAAAUUUUACAUUUUCUCAAACAGGGUAUGGAACUUGGCUUCCCAGAUAACUUCUAGUAUAGACAUCUGAGGGCAUGUCCGUCCAAGAAGAAAAUGUAGCCAUUAAUACCAUCUAUCGACCACAGGUUAAAGAUUGGCGAUCCGUUGGAUACCGACCGAGUUAUAGCCAAAACUUGGUGCAAAAAUGAGCCUUAGUAAAUUUUUAUUUUUUUGAAUUUUUUGAUUUUUUUAUUAUUUUUCACUCUUUUUUUUAUUUAAAGCAUUACUUGAGUGAAAAGAAACACAUUGCAAUCAAUUGGCAUUAAAAUAAAUCAAUUUAAUUUUUUUCCUAAUUUUCUCAAAAAAAUGGCAAGGGGUACCCCUUAUGAAAUUUUCGAGUUGAAAAUUUUAAAAAAAAUUUUUUCUGAUUUUUUAUUCUUUUUUUAAUUUGAAGCAUUAUUUGAGUGAAAAGAAACUUAUUGCAACAAAUUCGCAUUCAAAUAUAUCACAUUUAAAAAUUUUGCUACAUUGCUCAAAAAUGAGGAAAAUUUUACAUUUUCUC
Molecule: long non-coding RNA, 3244 nt
Organism: Anopheles funestus (African malaria mosquito)
Lineage: Eukaryota; Metazoa; Arthropoda; Insecta; Diptera; Culicidae
Exons: 3
Source: RefSeq, a predicted model, not a curated record